CAAAUUGCCAUAUCCAGGAAAAAUUGACGAUGACUUCGGAAGAGCGGCAAACAUUGAGCCACUAUUUGACGAUAUACAACAAGGACUAUGUGAAAAGGAAAAUCAACAGGAUUAAGAAGGGUGGCACAAGUCAAGAGUUCAAAGACCCGGUCUGUGAAGGCUUUAGAAAUUUUCUAGAGUUAGACAAAGACGAUUCAAUUCAGCCUCCAAAUGAAGCAGGGGAAGAUUAUCUCGAGAAGAUGAAGCAAGAAAAACCAAAGAUUGCUCAGAUGUUUUUUCAAAACCCUUUGGAUCGACUGACAAUUAAAGGAGAUCAGAUUCUGAAUGGC
Long non-coding RNA from Dendroctonus ponderosae (mountain pine beetle), 329 nucleotides. RefSeq lists it as uncharacterized. The record is from RefSeq and is a predicted model, not a curated record. Lineage: Eukaryota; Metazoa; Arthropoda; Insecta; Coleoptera; Curculionidae. The transcript is spliced from 3 exons.